This 904-nucleotide ribosomal RNA is filed under the name uncultured bacterium. RNAcentral's name for it is "bacterial SSU rRNA". It matches the Rfam family "Bacterial small subunit ribosomal RNA", at positions 8 to 902 of the family's 1533-position model. The record is from RNAcentral.
AGAGUUUGAUCCUGGCUCAGGAUGAACGCUAGCUACAGGCUUAACACAUGCAAGUCGAGGGGAAACGACAUCGAAAGCUUGCUUUUGAUGGGCGUCGACCGGCGCACGGGUGAGUAACGCGUAUCCAACCUGCCCACCACUUGGGGAUAACCUUGCGAAAGUAAGACUAAUACCCAAUGAUAUCUCUAGAAGACAUCUGAAGGAGAUUAAAGAUUUAUCGGUGAUGGAUGGGGAUGCGUCUGAUUAGCUUGUUGGCGGGGUAACGGCCCACCAAGGCGACGAUCAGUAGGGGUUCUGAGAGGAAGGUCCCCCACAUUGGAACUGAGACACGGUCCAAACUCCUACGGGAGGCAGCAGUGAGGAAUAUUGGUCAAUGGGCGAGAGUCUGAACCAGCCAAGUAGCGUGCAGGAUGACGGCCCUAUGGGUUGUAAACUGCUUUUAUAAGGGAAUAAAGUGAGUCUCGUGAGACUUUUUGCAUGUACCUUAUGAAUAAGGACCGGCUAAUUCCGUGCCAGCAGCCGCGGUAAUACGGAAGGUCCGGGCGUUAUCCGGAUUUAUUGGGUUUAAAGGGAGCGUAGGCCGGAGAUUAAGCGUGUUGUGAAAUGUAGACGCUCAACGUCUGCACUGCAGCGCGAACUGGUUUCCUUGAGUACGCACAAAGUGGGCGGAAUUCGUGGUGUAGCGGUGAAAUGCUUAGAUAUCACGAAGAACUCCGAUUGCGAAGGCAGCUCACUGGAGCGCAACUGACGCUGAAGCUCGAAAGUGCGGGUAUCGAACAGGAUUAGAUACCCUGGUAGUCCGCACGGUAAACGAUGGAUGCCCGCUGUUGGUCUGAAUAGGUCAGCGGCCAAGCGAAAGCAUUAAGCAUCCCACCUGGGGAGUACGCCGGCAACGGUGAAACUC